This is a small nucleolar RNA of Myotis lucifugus (little brown bat), 104 nucleotides long. Ensembl annotates it as small nucleolar RNA U13. The record is from Ensembl. Lineage: Eukaryota; Metazoa; Chordata; Mammalia; Chiroptera; Vespertilionidae.
AUCCUUUUGUAGUUCACGGGCAUGAUGAUUGGGUGUUCACGCUGCCGUGUGAGAUGUGCAGCCCACAAACCCUGUUACACCUUUGGCACAUGACCCACCUGUUA